GUAGGUGGCAGGCGUUGUCCGGAAUUAUUGGGCGUAAAGCGCGCGCAGGCGGUUCUUUAAGUCUGAUGUGAAAGCCCACGGGCUCAACCGUGGAGGGUCAUUGGAAACUGGAGAACUUGAGUACAGAAGAGGAAAGCGGAAUUCCACGUGUAGCGGUGAAAUGCGUAGAGAUGUGGAGGAACACCAGUGGCGAAGGCGGCUUCCUGGUCUGUAACUGACGCUGAGGCGCGAAAGCGUGGGGAGCAAACAGGAUUAGAUACCCUGGUAGUCCACGCCGUAAACGAUGAGUGCUAAGUGUUAGGGGGUUUCCGCCCCUUAGUGCUGCAGCUAACGCAUUAAGCACUCCGCCUGGGGAGUACGGCCGCAAAGGCUG
This 373-nucleotide ribosomal RNA is filed under the name uncultured organism. Its description in RNAcentral is "partial 16S ribosomal RNA". It matches the Rfam family "Bacterial small subunit ribosomal RNA", at positions 527 to 896 of the family's 1533-position model. The record is from RNAcentral.